RNAcentral lists this small nucleolar RNA (126 nucleotides) under Nannospalax galili (Upper Galilee mountains blind mole rat). Its description in RNAcentral is "Small nucleolar RNA SNORA28 (ENSNGAG00000008209.1)". It matches the Rfam family "Small nucleolar RNA SNORA28". Rfam says of the family: ACA28 is a member of the H/ACA class of snoRNA that guide the sites of modification of uridines to pseudouridines. The record is from Rfam by way of RNAcentral. Lineage: Eukaryota; Metazoa; Chordata; Mammalia; Rodentia; Spalacidae.
AAGCGACACUCUGUGGCAGAUGAGCAGAACUAUCUGACACAAUUUGAGCUUGCUAUAGCAAGAAAGUCUAACCCAUUCCGGCAUUCUGUUCCCCAUGAGACAACCUAUUACAUAGGCUCAAACAAU